This 1046-nucleotide ribosomal RNA is filed under the name uncultured Actinomycetes bacterium. RNAcentral describes it as "bacterial SSU rRNA". It matches the Rfam family "Bacterial small subunit ribosomal RNA", at positions 26 to 1087 of the family's 1533-position model. The record is from RNAcentral. Lineage: Bacteria; Bacillati; Actinomycetota; Actinomycetes.
AGGACGAACGCUGGCGGCGUGCUUAACACAUGCAAGUCGAGCGGUAAGGCCCCUUCGGGGGUACACGAGCGGCGAACGGGUGAGUAACACGUGAGCAAUCUGCCCUUCACUUUGGGAUAACCACCGGAAACGGUGGCUAAUACCGGAUACGACCAGUCUCUGCAUGGGGUGCUGGUGGAAAGUUCUGGCGGUGGAGGAUGAGCUCGCGGCCUAUCAGCUUGUUGGUGGGGUAAUGGCCUACCAAGGCGACGACGGGUAGCCGGCCUGAGAGGGUGACCGGCCACACUGGGACUGAGACACGGGCCAGACUUCUACCGGAAGGCAGCAGUGGGGAAUAUUGGACAAUGGGCGAAAGCCUGAUCCAGCAACCGCCGCGUGAGGGAUGACGGCCUUUGGGUUGAAACCUUUUUAGCAGGGACGAAGCGCAAGUGACGGUACCUGCAGAAGAAGCACCGGCCAACUACGUGCCAGCAGCCGCGGUAAUACGUAGGGUGCGAGCGUUGUCCGGAAUUAUUGGGCGUAAAGGGCUCGUAGGCGGUUUGUCACGUCGGGAGUGAAAACUCGGGGCUUAACCCCGAGCCUGCUUCCGAUACGGGCUGACUAGAGGUAUGCAGGGGAGAACGGAAUUCCUGGUGUAGCCGGUGAAAUGCGCAGAUAUCAGGAGGAACACCGGUGGCGAAGGCGGUUCUCUGGGCAUUACCUGACGCUGAGGAGCGAAAGUGUUGGGGAGCGAACAGGAUUUAAUACCCUUGGUAGUCCACACCGUAAACGCUAGGUGUGGGACUCAUUCCACGAGUUCCGUGCCGCAGCUAACGCAUUAAGCGCCCCGCCUGGGGAGUACGGCCGCAAGGCUAAAACUCAAAGGAAUUGACGGGGGCCCGCACAAGCGGCGGAGCAUGCGGAUUAAUUCGAUGCAACGCGAAGAACCUUACCUGGGUUUGACAUAUAGAGAAAUCCUCCAGAGAUGGGGGGUCCGGUAAGGGCUCUAUACAGGUGGUGCAUGGCUUGUCGUCAGCUUCGUGUCGUGAGAUGUUGGGGUUAAGUCC